Non-coding RNA from Nothobranchius furzeri (turquoise killifish), 494 nucleotides. Lineage: Eukaryota; Metazoa; Chordata; Actinopteri; Cyprinodontiformes; Nothobranchiidae. The record is from RefSeq and is a predicted model, not a curated record.
UAAAUGUAAGUAUAAACUUGAAAACUGUCAGUUUAAGGACUUUUUGUGAUACAUGAACGUUAUUUUAGUUAGAAAUGUUACAGUAAAAGUGCUUGUAUUGCGGUCUCGGCUCGUAUGUUCGGCCGCGCUCGGUGUUGUACUUCUCCCACUACGUUUCCCCCUGAUUUUAAUAGAAGUUUGUAUUUUAGGACCAAAAGAGAAAACCAGGGAAUUUAUUAAGCUUAGGGCGGAGAUGGACCACAUGAUCACCGGAGCAAAGUAUUCGGCGGCUGUGGCAUGGAGACUAUUCUGGAGAAAAUGGGCAUGCAGGGGAAGGUGCCAGCGAUGAGCUUCUGGAGCUGAUCUGGGAGGACAUGAGGCUGCAGAGCAGCAGAGAGCACAGGAGAGAAGGAAGAACUUUGACAGCUUUUUACUUUGCUAGAAAAAAAUGGUUAAUGAAGAUUAAACAUGUACAUGUAAAAGAAAUAUCUAAAUAAAAUCAGUUCUGCAUUAAA